Molecule: ribosomal RNA, 384 nt
Filed under: uncultured bacterium
Lineage: Bacteria
Description: bacterial SSU rRNA
Rfam family: Bacterial small subunit ribosomal RNA
Source: RNAcentral
GGGCCCGCACAAGCGGUGGAUUAUGUGGUUUAAUUCGAAGCAACGCGCAGAACCUUACCUAGGCUUGAAAUCCUGCGAACCCGACGUAAUUGUUGGGGUGCCCGCAAGGGAAUGCAGUGACAGGUGCUGCAUGGCUGUCGUCAGCUCGUGUUGUGAAAUGUUGGGUUAAGUCUCGCAACGAGCGCAACCCCUAUCUUUAGUUGCCAGCAUUAAGUUGGGCACUCUAUGGAAACUGCCCGUGAUAAGCGGGAGGAAGGUGUGGAUGACGUCAAGUCCUCAUGGCCCUUACGGGUUGGGCUACACACGUGCUACAAUGGUAGUGACAAUGGGUUAAUCCCAAAAAGCUAUCUCAGUUCGGAUUGUCGUCUGCAACUCGACGGCAUG